GAGGUUCAAAUGAUGAUUAUUUGCAUAGUUCAGAUGAUAAUAAUCUUAUGUGAUUAUAAAUCUAUUUUUAGUCUUUCGCUCCUAUCUGAUGAACUCU
Small nucleolar RNA from Cynara cardunculus var. scolymus (artichoke), 97 nucleotides. RefSeq annotates it as small nucleolar RNA snR60/Z15/Z230/Z193/J17. The transcript has a single exon. The record is from RefSeq and is a predicted model, not a curated record. NCBI's taxonomy places the organism in Eukaryota, Viridiplantae, Streptophyta, Magnoliopsida, Asterales, Asteraceae.